GACGUAGGGGGCCAGCGUUGUUCGGAAUUACUGGGUGUAAAGGGUUCGUAGGCGGUGCGGCAAGUCGGGAGUGAAAUCUCUGGGCUUAACCCAGAGGCUGCUUCCGAAACUGCUGUGCUUGAGUGUGGGAGAGGCGCGUGGAAUUGCAGGUGUAGCGGUGAAAUGCGUAGAUAUCUGCAGGAACACCUGCGGCGAAGGCGGGUUGCUGGGCUGACACUGACGCUGACAGCGCGAAAGCUAGGGGAGCGAACGGG
Molecule: ribosomal RNA, 254 nt
Filed under: uncultured bacterium
Lineage: Bacteria
Description: partial 16S ribosomal RNA
Rfam family: Bacterial small subunit ribosomal RNA
Source: RNAcentral